AUGUUCAUGAAAAAGGGUGUGAAAAGUAAAACUGGAGGUGCAUUUCCUCUUUUAUCAAUAUUCAAGAAUCGAGCCUCAGUUCAAACAAUACCUUUUGGAGGGCAAGGGGGUUUGAAGAGAGCUUAUCAAGGAAAUCUUUCACAGUCAUGAUCUUUUCAUUCUCGAGACGCUUACAAAUCGAGCCUCAGUUCAGUCACUGAGAUCGCAGGGAAGACUGGAAGAGGACGCUCAAGUCUCCAUGUGGUGGCUAGGGUUUCAAUUGCGGUUUCAGGAAGCAUCAGUGGAACUCAAUGGUGAUGAAGAUGGCUUCAAGAAGCUCCGGCGAAAAACCUAGGGUUUCGGCUAUAUUCCGGUGAAGUUCCGGUAUAAGGACUAAUGCUUGCAUAUUCCAUUUUCAAGUAGAUCGGUGACCGAUUCGUCUGCGUGUGUGUGCUUCUGGUGGAUUAGAGGUAACCGUACACAUUAGGGUUCACUCUAUCUGAAACAAUACCUUAGGGUGACUGAACUACCAGAUGGUUCUUUGACGAUUUGGUACUCUCUCACGUCAGCCCAGCCGUUAAUCCGGCGACUCUAGCGACGGUGGUGACUGAUGGUGGUCUAUCCGAAGAUGACUUAGGGCUCCGCCGUGAGCGCUAUUGGUGAAGCCGGUUUGGUCAAUCGAACGCGACGCGUUGGCGGUGAUACAAUCGUUAACGACGGCGAUGGUGAUGAGAAGUUUGAGGCGAACAAGCGAACUCGCAGAAAUACAAAAGGUUUACUACUUUAUCAUGAUAUUAAUGUGUUAUCCACCAGGUACUCUAUACUCCGCCUUGAUAAUCUGAUAAUGAUACCAGGCUCCGGCUGCUAGGCGUGGAGCAUCUGCCUCCUGGUAGAGGGAGGUUAAGUGAUUUCUGAAUUAGAUGAAAACCUAUGCAACCGUUUUUUCAUGGAGAACAACUUCUAUUGUUUUUGUUUAUGUCUUGAAACUAGAUUUGGAUUGAUUGAUGCAACCCUAUGGAAGGAAAUAGCCUCUUCGUUCGAUAAAGAAGCUAUGACAUACUAUAUGAAAGUUACGGAGUACGAUGUUUGGAGAACACAGUAAAAAGGAUAAGCGUGUAGUUCAACCAAGCACUUUUAAACUAACAAAUAUCUCCAUUGCGGGGAGAGUUCAGCUGGCAUCUACAACAGCAACACACGUCUAUCUAAACCCAACUACCGGCCCUAUGAAGUCAAUCGCCACUAGAGACCAGGAUAGCAACAGAUUGCCAUCUACCGUAGAAUUUAGUCGCGCCAAAGAAAAGUCGAAAGAAUCCAUAGGAAAUUAACCAAUCGUCGCAUAUUAACUACAACAAAAAACCGAACAAACCGCUGCAAGUAUAUCCUCCACCUACCAAAUCUGAAUUCAGAUUUUUAUACAUGUCAUCAGGUUUACAUACAUUCUACUCAAUCCAUUACGAAGCAUACAAGGUCAAGGUAGUGUAUUGUUAUACAAUACUGGUACAAGUCUCCCACCUGCUUAUACUUUAUUUCAAAACCAUGUACUCUAUUUAUUAUUGCUUUGGAGGCGAGGCCACAACUUAUCCUAAAUGCAGAAAAAAAGAUCUUGGAGCAGUGUUGUUGAUCUGCAUGAUAGAGUAUCGCACAUUUAUGGGGGCCUGUUAUACAUGAUGGGUGCUAAAGAGAAUUUAUGUAUGAUAGUUUUGAAUGAUUAGUUUUGAAUGAUUAACAUAAGCAGAUGUAAACUGUCUUUUAUUUGCAGUAUGACAAGAAAGACAAUGGUUUUACAUUACCUUGGUGGUUAUGGUAGCCCCAUUAUCCAGUCCACAGCCAAAAUUUGUAUACUACUUUUUUUUUUUUUUGAAAAUUAUU
Molecule: long non-coding RNA, 1848 nt
Filed under: Helianthus annuus (common sunflower)
Lineage: Eukaryota; Viridiplantae; Streptophyta; Magnoliopsida; Asterales; Asteraceae
Source: RNAcentral